UACGAGAGGCCCAAACGUUAUUCGGAUUUACUGGGCUUAAAGAGUUCGUAGGCGGCGCAGAAAGUAGGGUGUGAAAGCCCUCGGCUCAACCGAGGAAUUGCGCCCUAAACUACUGUGCUUGAGGGACCUAGAGGUGAGCAGAACAAGAUGGUGGAGCGGUGAAAUGCGUUGAUAUCAUCUGGAAUACCGGAGGCGAAGGGCGGCUCACUGGGGGUCUUCUAGACGCUGAGGAACGAAAGCCAGGGGAGCGAACGGG
This 256-nucleotide ribosomal RNA is filed under the name uncultured bacterium. RNAcentral describes it as "partial 16S ribosomal RNA". It matches the Rfam family "Bacterial small subunit ribosomal RNA", at positions 524 to 776 of the family's 1533-position model. The record is from RNAcentral.